GCAAAGCCGCGAGGCAGAGCGAACCCCCAAAAGCCGUCCCAGUUCGGAUCGCAGGCUGCAACCCGCCUGCGUGAAGUCGGAAUCGCUAGUAAUCGCGGAUCAGCAUGCCGCGGUGAAUACGUUCCCGGGCCUUGUACACACCGCCCGUCACACCAUGAGAGUCGGGAACACCCGAAGUCCGUAGCCUAACCGAAAGGAGGGCGCGGCCGAAGGUGGGUUCGAUAAUUGGGGUGAAGUCGUAACAAGGUAAC
This 251-nucleotide ribosomal RNA is filed under the name uncultured bacterium. RNAcentral describes it as "partial 16S ribosomal RNA". It matches the Rfam family "Bacterial small subunit ribosomal RNA", at positions 1249 to 1500 of the family's 1533-position model. The record is from RNAcentral.